AUUCCAGCUCCAAUAGCGUAUAUUAAAGUUGUUGCAGUUAAAAAGCUCGUAGUUGGAUUUGUGGUUGGAGCGACCGGCCCGACACAGUGUGUUGGUGCUUGGUUGUCUCCGUCCAUCCUUGGGUGGAGCCUGUGUGGCAUUAAGUUGUCGUGCAGGGGAUGCCCAUCUUUUACUGUGAAAAAAUUAGAGUGUUCAAAGCAGGCUUACGCCGUUGAAUAUAUUAGCAUGGAAUAAUGAGAUAGGACCUGGGUACUAUUUUGUUGGUUUGCGCACCGAGGUAAUGAUUAAUAGGGACAGUUGGGGGUAUUCGUAUUCCAUUGUCAGAGGUGAAAUUCUUGGAUUUUUGGAAGACGAACUACUGCGAAAGCAUUUACCAAGGAUGUUUUC
RNAcentral lists this ribosomal RNA (387 nucleotides) under Diatoma tenuis. RNAcentral describes it as "SSU rRNA". It matches the Rfam family "Eukaryotic small subunit ribosomal RNA", at positions 582 to 971 of the family's 1831-position model. The record is from RNAcentral. Lineage: Eukaryota; Bacillariophyta; Fragilariophyceae; Tabellariales; Tabellariaceae.